CGAGUCGAGUAGUUUGGGAAUGCUGCUCAAAAUGGGAGGUAUAUGUCUUCUAAAGCUAAAUACCGGCCAGAGACCGAUAGCGCACAAGUAGAGUGAUCGAAAGAUGAAAAGCACUUUGAAAAGAGGGUUAAAUAGUACGUGAAAUUGUUGAGAGGGAAGCGCUUCUGACCAGACUUGGGCUCGGUGAAUCAUCCAGCGUUCUCGCUGGUGCACUUCGCCGGUCCAGGCCAACAUCAGUUCGUCGCGGGGGAUAAAGGCUUCGGGAAAGUGGCCCCCUCGGGGGUGUUAUAGACCGUUGCGCAAUACCCUGCGAUGGACUGAGGUUCGCGCUCCGCUAGGAUGUUGGCGUAAUGGUCAUCAGCGACCCGUCUUGAAACACGGACCAAGGAGUCGUCUUCGUAUGCGAGUGUUCGGGUGUCAAACCCCUACGCGAAAUGAAAGUGAACGGAGGGGAGAGCUUCGGCGCAUCCUCGACCGAUCCUGAUGUUCUCGGAUGGAUUUGAGUAAGAGCAUACGGGGCCGGACCCGAAAGAAGGUGAACUAUGCCUGUAUAGGGUGAAGCCAGAGGAAACUCUGGUGGAGGCUCGCAGCGGUUCUGACGUGCAAAUCGAUCGUCAAAUAUGGGCAUGGGGGCGAAAGACUAAUCGAACCUUCUAGUAGCUGGUUUCCGCCGAAGUUUCCCUCAGGAUAGCAGUGUUGAGCUCAGUUUUAUGAGGUAAAGCGAAUGAUUAGGGACCCGGGGGCGCUAUUUAGCCUUCAUCCAUUCUCAAACUUUAAAUAUGUAAGAAGCCCUUGUUACUUAGGUGAACGUGGGCAUUCGAAUGUAUCAACACUAGUGGGCCAUUUUUGGUAAGCAGAACUGGCGAUGCGGGAUGAACCGAACGCGAGGUUAAGGUGCCAGAGUAGACGCUCAUCAGACACCACAAAAGGCGUUAGUACAUCUUGACAGCAGGACGGUGGCCAUGGA
RNAcentral lists this ribosomal RNA (967 nucleotides) under Sedecimiella taiwanensis. Its description in RNAcentral is "partial large subunit ribosomal RNA". It matches the Rfam family "Eukaryotic large subunit ribosomal RNA", at positions 261 to 1258 of the family's 3401-position model. Lineage: Eukaryota; Fungi; Ascomycota; Sordariomycetes; Hypocreales. The record is from RNAcentral.